GCGUUUUCCUAGAUCAGAUACAAGAUAAUCUACAUUGAAUUGAGCCCGAGACUUCUUUGUGCUGUUUAACAACUCGAGUGCUCGAUAGAAGCAGUGGCAGGACUAGAAGCACAACUAGAACUAGGAGAACUAGGUAUAGACUUUCAUUUCGGUUAAAAAAAUUGUUCCAUAAUCUACAAAAUUCCCUAAUUUAAUUUUCAAUUACAAUUGAUUAAAAAAUCAAUAAUUCAACAAAAAAAUCCCCAAGAGUUAGACUGCAAUGUAUUAGAAAAAUCAAACACUAAAAAAUUAGUCAAAGCAGCAAAGUUGCCUAAACAAAAAUCCCCAAGAGUUAGAUAGCAGCAGUGGCGAAUCCAAUAACAUUCUACGCUAAAUGCCUAAAUCAAUUUACCAUUCUUGUCCAUGUGCAUGUCAUUUCCAUCUAUGUACUGCUCCAGUACUUAGUUCUCACAAUCAUCUAGGUAGAUUACCAAUUUCAUUAGAUCUUCAGAAGCUUACAAUAUUUUUCAUCUAGCAAAUCAGAAAAUGAAACAAGUACUAUGCGUGAAUAUCUGAUAAAAUAAGGUUAAUGAAGUCUCUGUUGUCUAUACUAUACGUUGAAUUGCUGGGGAAAAAAAUACCUAAGGCACUUGGAGGGAAGUUUUAUUAGAAGAAAAUAACAAAAUCAAAACAAAGGAGAAAUGUUAUCCUCCAGCUACUUGCUACCAUAACUUAUUUUUCUGAACCCAGUAGCUAUAGCCUAUAAGCACAAAAAAGUUAAAGAGCCCAACGUUACACUUACACAUAAACAAAUGUAGAAUACACUUUCCACGACAUAAUUCAUAUCAGUUAUGAGAUAAAUUUUGAAAAUACAAAAAAGUGUAAACCUUCAAUAGUCAUUCAAAAUGCAAGCGGCCAUCAAGAAAACAAACAAUAAAGUAUUAAAGUUUAACACUAAAAUCUCAGAGGACAAACGAAAAGGGGUGGAAAAUUGCAGAUAGCACAAUUUAUUUAUUUAGAAACGAUAAUAAAAAUGAUAAAUAAGUCAAAUAACUAAAAGAAUCUUGCAUUUUUUGCUGUGGAGUGUGGGCUGCCUGCUGGACUGGAGUGCUGCUCGCGGCUCGCCUGCUUCUCUCGACUAUGAUUGGUGGGCGGUGGCGGUGGCGGUGCCGUCUGCAGUGUCUGCUGGCUGUUGCAGCCUGCGGUAGUGGUGGUAGACGGGGAGAGCCGUAGAGGUAGAUUAGUGGGUGGUGGCAAUUUGGGGAAAAAUC
This 1250-nucleotide long non-coding RNA is filed under the name Olea europaea subsp. europaea. Lineage: Eukaryota; Viridiplantae; Streptophyta; Magnoliopsida; Lamiales; Oleaceae. The record is from RNAcentral.